GAUGAACGCUGGCGGCGUGCCUAAUACAUGCAAGUCGAGCGAACAGACGAGGAGCUUGCUCCUCUGACGUUAGCGGCGGACGGGUGAGUACCACGUGGAUAACCUACCUAUAAGACUGGGAUAACUUCGGGAAACCGGAGCUAAUACCGGAUAAUAUAUUGAACCGCAUGGUUCAAUAGUGAAAGACGGUUUUGCUGUCCCUUAUACAUGGAUCCGCGCCGCAUUAGCUAGUUGGUAAGGUAACGGCUUACCAAGGCAACGAUGCGUAGCCGACCUGAGAGGGUGAUCGGCCACACUGGAACUGAGACACGGUCCAGACUCCUACGGGAGGCAGCAGUAGGGAAUCUUCCGCAAUGGGCGAAAGCCUGACGGAGCAACGCCGCGUGAGUGAUGAAGGUCUUCGGAUCGUAAAACUCUGUUAUUAGGGAAGAACAAAUGUGUAAGUAACUAUGCACGUCUUGACGGUACCUAAUCAGAAAGCCACGGCUAACUACGUG
RNAcentral lists this ribosomal RNA (497 nucleotides) under uncultured bacterium. Its description in RNAcentral is "partial 16S ribosomal RNA". It matches the Rfam family "Bacterial small subunit ribosomal RNA", at positions 28 to 507 of the family's 1533-position model. The record is from RNAcentral.